CAAAAGGCUCUUUUCAGAGCCCCACCGUUGUCAGCAAGAGAGCCGU
Molecule: non-coding RNA, 46 nt
Organism: Cavia porcellus (domestic guinea pig)
Lineage: Eukaryota; Metazoa; Chordata; Mammalia; Rodentia; Caviidae
Source: Rfam